UACGUAGGGUGCAAGCGUUGUCCGGAAUUAUUGGGCGUAAAGAGCUCGUAGGCGGUCUGUCGCGUCUGCUGUGGAAACUCGGGGCUUAACCCCGGGCCUGCAGUGGGUACGGGCAGACUAGAGUGCGGUAGGGGAGACUGGAAUUCCUGGUGUAGCGGUGAAAUGCGCAGAUAUCAGGAGGAACACCGGUGGCGAAGGCGGGUCUCUGGGCCGUAACUGACGCUGAGGAGCGAAAGCGUGGGGAGCGAACAGG
Molecule: ribosomal RNA, 253 nt
Filed under: uncultured bacterium
Lineage: Bacteria
Description: partial 16S ribosomal RNA
Rfam family: Bacterial small subunit ribosomal RNA
Source: RNAcentral